Molecule: non-coding RNA, 117 nt
Filed under: Chlorocebus sabaeus (green monkey)
Lineage: Eukaryota; Metazoa; Chordata; Mammalia; Primates; Cercopithecidae
Source: Rfam by way of RNAcentral
GCCGGGUGUGGUGGCUCACACCUGUAAUCCCAGCACUUUGGGAGGCUGAGGUGGGUGGAUCACUUGAGGCCAGGAGUUCAAGACCAGCCUGGCCAACAUGGUGAAAUCCUGUCUCUA